GUCUAAGGCCAUACCACCCUGACCACACCCGAUCUCAUCUGAUCUCAGCAGCUAAGCAGGGUUGGGUCUGGGUAGUACUUGGAUGGGAGAAUUGCUCUCUUUGGCCC
Molecule: ribosomal RNA, 107 nt
Filed under: Oryctolagus cuniculus (rabbit)
Lineage: Eukaryota; Metazoa; Chordata; Mammalia; Lagomorpha; Leporidae
Source: RNAcentral